UCUUUUUUAAAAAAAUGAUGUGUUACAUGGGAUAUGGGAAAUUUUUGUGAAAAAGAAAUUGGGAUGGUGAAUCCAUAUGGCCAUGAUGGAUUCAACAUCCAGAAAAAGUACCUCUGUCAGGUACCAAAGAUUGGGAAAUGGUUUAAAUAAAAUGAGACCAGACGUUGAGCAGGAAAGGUCGCCCGUCUGUGUCGAUUAAGGACCGUUCCGAUUGUUGGCCUGCUGAUCUAGGACCCUUUAACUGGCCACAUGCCUCAUCAUGGGUAAGCUUAGCCUCGGUUGGACCAAUACCAGAAAGGCCGGCCCGCAAUGGGAGUGGAGAGAUGGCGAGAGUAUCGUGUAUCCACCUGGCAAGAGGCUGGAUGGUGGGGUACUGAGCUCUCGGUUGGCGGGGACCCGUUCUGGUCUUGAGAAAACCGUGGGCGAGUUGACAUAUGCAAGGGUUAAGUGCUACAUAUGUCGUGUGGUUGGAGAUCCCCAGCUGGGUAUUAAUCGAUUCGGAUCGCCGAACUUCUCGGAUAUGAAGACUGGAUCUUCGACCUUCAGCGUAGAUAACAAGUGAAAUUAAAGUUGAUAAAAUGAAGCUAGUGUAGGACAAGUGAAUGCUCUAGACCAGACAAAUCUAGAUUCAGGAAAAGUACUUAAUUUGUGAAGUAAAAAUUUUGCAUAAGGAUCCACUACUAGUAAGCUUUUCUGCAAAAACGAGUCUUUGAAAUUUGACAAGCUUUACCUUGAAUCCCUUAAAUCCAGCAUACCCUUGAGAGUCUUUUCUUUAGUCGGGUAAGUCUUGCUGAGUAAUUGCGUACUCAGGGUUUUAUUCCCUGUUGUUUUUCAGGUUGUAAUUUUGUUCUGUUGUGGAUGGUGCUAAGUGCCGGUGGGCUCGGCCUUCUUAUAUAAGUAUAUCCCAUCUUUAGCUUCCUUAUUGAGGAUUGUCACUUAAGCUAGCAUGUAUUUUAAAACUUAUAAAUGUUUUAUACAUUCAAAUUGUAAUCUUUUGAAAUCAAUUUCUUUUGUAAUCAACUCCGAUGAUAUAUAUUGUAAUCUUGUUAUAACUUGUAAAUGUUGUAACUUGUAAUCAUUUUGUAAUAAAGAAUUUAUUUCCGCUGCAAGUGUUUGUAUGUGAGUUGUGUUUACUUAAUCCUACGAUCUUGGCGGUAAGUCGUUUAUCCGAGGUCCUCGGGGCACUCGGACAGAUCCUGUUAAGUUGUUUGGUGCACAUGCAUAGCUGUCUGAGGUCUUUGAGACAAGGACAGGUGCAUGUGGGCCCGAUAACUUGGGAGGUUCUGCGACAGCUGGUAUCGGAGCUGUAUUAAGUAUAAUACGGUCACAUACAUAUUUUUAAAACAAGGUUUUGGUUUUAGAAAACCUAUUUUCAACUAAACACAUUGUUUGGUUUUGAAAAACAGAUUUGAAAAACUAUAAUGCUAGCGACAUCCUCUGUUAAGCCCUAAAUUAAGGACUACUAGGUGGCCUAAUUCAGAAUACUGACCCACAACCUGGGAAGGGUAAUGCAUACAUGUGUAAUGUUAUUUUUAAAGCCAUUCAGUUUUGAAUGGAUCGACGCUCAGGUAAGGUGAGAUGUGAGAGCAUGACCGAACAAACGUCGGUCUAGGGGAGAGUAUAAAAAGCGCUUGAUUAUAUACAUGUUACACAUAUGUAUAUAUGAAGGCUGCGAUGUGGAGUAAUUACUUUUUUGGGGAUUCAGUACCCCAUAAAUGUGUAUGGGCAUACAGACAUGGGACUACUGAGAAAUGUAAUGUACUCGCAACGACGCACCUACGCUCAGGUAAGAAGGUGAGUUACCAUAAUGGGCUGCCCUGUGGUUAAAGUGUGGUAGCGGCGCCUAUGCGUGGCUCAGCGCUUAAUGAGGAGCUGGCCUCCAUAUAGAAAUAUAUGGAGUAUAAACUGUGAUAAACUGGCAUGUGUGAAUUGCAUCAUUGGGAAAUGGGCUGUGAUGAAGUUUUCUGCAGGUACACUAACUUCGAAACGUAUGUGUAGCUGACGACUAGCAAUAUACCGAGAGAGAACGUAGAUAUGCCACCGAUAUAGAACGCUAUUGCCACAUUAUGUUGGCGAAAUUCGUGAGGACGAAUAGGACGAGCAUGCAUCCUGAUUGUUGCAUUGUGUUUGUCAUUUGUGCACAAAUAUGCUUCUCUCAUCUUUAUUCUAAUAAUUCAUGAUUGUGAACAAACGUGCUUCCCUCAUCUUUAUCCCGAUAAUAAAUAAUUGGAAAAUGUGUGAAGCAUUACUAUCUUAUAAGCAAAUUUCUAGUCUUGUUUGUUGGGUCCUUUAGACAUGUAUUUAUGUGGCCUAUGGUUCUUCUUAGUUUGACCGCUAGUCCAACUUGUGUUUGUUCUGGUGUGUUUGUGCCGGUAGAAUGUUGGUGGUAUGUUUGUGUAAACUAAAAAUUUGGCCAUGUCCUCAUCUAGGAGCCAUGACCCAAAUCGAUGUUAAUUCCCUGAAAUUUUUCCUAGUUUUCAAAAGUGGACGAGUCUGAAUUUCCAUCGUUACUUUAGGACCAAGCUUAUCUAAAUAGGUGUUUAGGUAAUCUUCUCGUAGAAAAUAAAUGCACCUAAAUUUAAGACAAGGAUCUCGAGUACGUCUUUUCGUCGUUUAAUAUGUGACUCUUCAGUGGUCAUGUUUUCCUCCUAAGCUUCGACUUGUUCGGUUGGUGCAAACUGGUAUCCCUAUUCCAGUUUGCCUCUGCUUGAGGAUCACAUUGUCGGUUUCUCAAUCUAACCUAGGAAAGGAAUGCCUAGUCGUUUUCUCGAAUUGAAUGCCAAUGGUUUCCUCAUAGCUCUCGAAGGCAUAUUAAUUUAAUCUUCCGAUCGUUUUUUUCCUGCGUACUUAAUCAGACGCUCAUCCUUGACCUUGAAAUUGCUGCGAUGGGCAUAGAAAUAUGCUUGGGGCUGAAAUAACAGUCUCCCAUCAUACUCCCUUCAUCAUCCAAUUUAGGUUUUGGCCAUGAUCUAUUUGACUCUCUACUUGCAAUUAUUUUGACAGGUAGAGUCUCUUUGUAUAUUGUCACCCUUGCUCAGUCUAUCUAUGCCAUGUGAGAUUUCUUAUUGAUUACAUCUGGCAAUGGUGUUAUGACUAAAACUGAUGGUGCUGCGACGAAACCGAGGGCCUCCUGUGGGUGAUCAACACAUGGUUGCGCUACUUGGCACGCGCUGGUAUCACAGUUAGUAGUCAUAAUCCAUUAUGAGACUAUAUCGAUAUGUUAUCUUUGCGCAAAUUGUUCUUACCACGUGAGAUUCAUUAUCGGUGCUAGUUCGAUGAUGGUGUCCCAGUUAAUGACUUAUGGUGCCGCGUAAAACCGAAAGUCUCAUGUGGCGGCUGACACAUGGUAGUGUUGUUCGGUACGCUGGUAUCGAAGUCUCUGGCUAUGAUCCAUUAUGGAACUACACUGACAUGUUAUCUUUCGUAGACUACUUCGUUGAAAUGAUUUCUAUGUUGUUUGUUAGAAUGAUCAAGCUACAUAUGCCAUCAGUGUUAGAUCAAAAGAGUAUAUAACUCAGAUGUAUUCCUUAAGUAAAGUUCUUACCAGUUUAGAAGCUUUCAUCAAAAAUCGAAACCUAUAUGUGUCUGAUCGUGUGAUAAAAUCACCCUUUUCAUGUGAGGACUCCUUUCUCUUGAUCUUAGUGGCAACUGCACACAUGGAGCCUUAAGUGUUCUUCUGGCUGAGACCGACUCUGAUGGUUGACCUCUCUGCUUAGCUGGAAAGUGAUACAUGCUAUACCCACUAGAGAAACAACAUUCUGAGACACUCGUCUUCACUUGAAACUAGCUUAUGCUAUCACUAGUAUGGACAGGAGUUACAUGCUUCUCUACUCUUAAAAGUCUUUCGCUCCGAAUCUCGGGACGAGAUUCUUUUAAGGGGGGAGGAUUGUAACACCCCAGGUGUUUAUCGUCUGCUCGACCACGAUUGCGGACUUUAACACGUGAUAGCUAUGAAUGUAAAGGUCACUAAAUUUUAAUCAACCUCAUUUAUCACAAUUUUGAUAUCGUGUUUGUUUCCGUCUGUCUAAAUUUUUCCAAAUCUAUAUUUUUUAAUUCAGCCUUUGGUAAUUUUCGGAACAUCGAAUCCAGGAUUGUUUGGGUUGAGCCAUCGACGUCUUGCCCAAACUCUAAUCCUUGAAAUCGAUUCUGGUUUCUUAAACUUCAUUUGAAAUUCUUUCACGCUUGCGUUGCAUGUGUCUCUCUGUGGCCUAGCAUCGUGGCGCGUGGCAGGUGCUAACCGGUGUCUGGACAGCGCACAGCCUCUCGCUCUCGUGAGCGAUGCGUGAUGUCGCUUUCGAAAAGAUCAUAAUUUCGAUAUCAUUUUCAUCUCUGUCUAUCCAGCCUACUCUAAAUGUUUCGCGAAGUCAGAACGUAUUUGUUCCGAAAAUUAGUGAGUUUGGUGAUUAUUUAAAACUCAUCGAUCGUGCAAAUACGAACUUAAAAAUUUAGUUCAGUCCUCCGAUUUCAGCCCCAAAUAAAUUUAUUAGAAGUCGACGACUAAGUUUUUGGGUAUAAAAUAAUUUAGUGGUUACUUGCCAACCGAGAAAUCAUCACAUCCAAGGAUUUAUAAAUGAGAUAUGUUUCUCCAGUAAAUUAUCUAUAGCCGUGGAAUCAGGUGUUCAGACUACAGAUGAAAUUAUUUGAUUUCAAAUCAAAUUGAACGCGGUCUAAAAUAUCGGUGUUGACAUCGUUCCAGUUCGUUCCGAUUGUAUCUCACCUAGAUUCAAACGUUCGGGUAUAAAUAUCUCAUAAAAAUUUAUCUGAUUCUGGGAAUACCUACCAAAUCAAACACUGUUCAACUAUUAUCACCGAUCUCAUUUUGGUCCAAUCGAUUUGCAUCUGUUAAAUGUUAAUUCGAGCACCCGUAUUUAUCCAUAAAUUAUUAAAAAAAAGAAUCCUAACUUAUCAUCUCCACCAUUUUGCCUUUGACUUAUCCAAACCGUAUCCUCCUCUCAUUAUCCGCAGUGAACUCUAGAAGUCACGGUACCCAUCCCUACACACACGUCCGUGUCUCUCAACCUCAUCCUCUCCAGGCCUCCAGCGACCAGCCCCUCCCUUAUCCCAUUCUCAGUCAUCUUCAUCGAUCCAGAAACUACGGCCAUCUUCCUCCUCCUGUCAUGGCCGCCCCUCCCUCAUCUUCCUUCCCAAGCUGAGCUCGCCCAGCCCCUCUCUGUUUGUGGCGUGCUCCAGCUUCCCAUGGCGUCAAAGCCCCUAGCCAGGUUCCUAGCCCCCUCAUGGCCGCCCCUCUCUGCUCCCUGAUUUCUCCCCACGCCAGCAGCAGCUUCCCCUUCUUCUUUUGUUCUCCAUGAAUGAAAGCCCAAGCGCCAGCCCCCUCCCUUUUGUCAAGUGGUGAGCUCCAAAUCUCUUUAUUGUUUCCCUAGUCCUUGCGUGUUGUAUUUUGAUUUCAGUUUGUUGUCCAUGUCAUGACGCUUGUGAAACUCUAUGUGUUUGUGUGUGAGAUUGGAAGAGAGUUCUAGGGAAAUCGAUGGAGAAGAAACAGUGUUUCAGUUCGACGCGCUCUAGGUGUUUGAUGGAAUGGAUGAACCGGAGAUCCUUGUUGCUCUUGUGAAAUCCGAGUCUAUUUAGUGUUGGUAAGCUAAUUCAUUAUUUAGUAUUGAUUGAAUUGUUAGAUGAAUUGAAUAGAUGUGUUUGGUGAAUAUAUAUGCAUCAUGAGUUAGUGGUGAUACCUCUUCGUGGAUAGUGACAUGAUUGUAUUCAUGGUUAUGGUUAAAAUAAGUGAUGACGGUAUUGCUGUCCAAACCUGCACGUACAGUUUUGAUUGUGCAACUAAUUGAGUGAAGUAAAUCAUGUUUUCUGUGAAAGUGUUAUAUACAAAAGUUGUAGCUAACCUCUUCAUCUUACUUGUGCUAAAAUUUCAUAACCAUAGGACUAGUAGUUUAGGAGUUAUGAUUUUUCCAAGUCCAGUUUCAGAAUCUGUCCCAAUUCUGGACAGGUUUCGAAAAUUGCAUUUUUUGGCUAAGUUAAAAUGAGAACCAGUCUUUAGUAACUAUAGAAGAAUUUUAGUACUUUUCUUAAGCUUCCCAACAAAUUUUGGAUCACCCUUUUUGGUGAUCUAGAAGUCAGGUUAUGGCUGUUUGAAAUGUGAUGUCUGAAUCUGUCCAAAUCUGGACAGCAAUGUUUGUUUGUAUUAACUGACUUCGAUACACAUUGAAUCACCCUGAGAUGUUUACAAAUAAAUUGUAGACAAUUCUAUUAGCUUUCUAAAAAGUGUAGGAUCACCUGAUUUGGAUUUCUGAAACUCCGGUUAUGGAUUUUUGAAGUGAGUAGUCGAAUUCUGUCUAAAUCUGGACAGAAAUUGCGUUUAGUACUGUUUGAUAUUUCUAUAUGUCGAAUCUCACUGUGAUGAUAAUACCAAAAUUUUAGAGGACUUUAUAAGCUUUCCAAAAAGUCUUAGUUUACUAUUUUUGGAUGAAUAUCGUGUGAGUUAUGAAUAAAACAACUGACUGCUGUAUUGCUGUCCAAAAUCAGCAAGCAUUAAAAUGAUUUGCUUGGAAUUUCUUGUGUAGGUAACUAGAUUUGGUUAGUCCUUGGCUUGAUCAAUGAAGUAUGGUAGUUGCAUAUGUUUGUUCUUUUCUUUCUUAAUGCUUGCCUUAGACUUUAGCAUUUUAAGAAGGAAGUAAAUACUUUGGUGAGUGUAUUUGAGUUAGCGACCAUUUAGACCUUUAAGUUAAGAUGAGUGCAAUUUCAUUGAACCCUAUGUUAAUUGGUAAUGAAAUAUCCGUUAGUUCUAAGUAUGUUUUGAUGUUUUGUUUAGUCGAUAUACGUUGAUAGUUAAUCUAGAGGAAUGUUUGAGAAAGCUAGAUGAGUGACUUUUAACCAUACUAAGUUUUAGAUGUGUUCAAUAAUUGUGAGCUUGAAUUGUUACUUGACUCUCGAUCCUAUGUUCUAGUUAAGGAAAAUACAUAGCUUGUGUAGGGUUCAAUAUUCUUUGAUGUUUGUGUUAGAUUUGGUUAAGCCAGACAAACGUAAUUGUGAUACGUAGUGAUAUGUCAACAUAUAGUAAUUGUUUUUAAGUAUUGUGGUACAUCAAUGUUAUAUUCUAAAUAUAUUAGGACUUGUAUGUUGCUAAUGUUACUUGAUGAUUGAUUUAGGUCCGAUUGACUAGAACGUCAUGUUUGAUGUAGAAUUAGUUGUGAUGUUUUGCUUUAAGUCUGUAUCCUCCUUAGUAUAGCUUAUCUAUCUUGUGCUAUAUAUGCUCCUACUCACUCAUAUGCAUUAUGCAUGUCAUUUAGGUACGUUAAUUGAUCACGUGAUGUGGAAGACAAAGUUUGGAUUGAUCUCAAGAUAAUGCUGAUGGACGAAGCUAAAAUGGGUGAAUCAAACAAGUGCCAGAAUGGGAGAUGCUCGCCAAGCAAACAUCAUCUAACAACACUGACUUAGUGUUAUCCCAGGCAAGCCCCGGUGCAUUUGCCACCUCCUUGUUGUUAUAAAACUUUUAUCACUUAUAUGUUGCAUUAGGUGAUAGGAGUUGAGUGAUGAAACAAUUGAUGCAUUGCCAUUCCUUGGAAUUUGAUUAUCUUGAUUCCUGUUUUAUAAAGAGAACUAAAGAUGCUUAGCCCUGCUUAGAUAAUUAAAAGUUGUUCUUUUUUAAAAAAAUGAUGUGUUACAUGGGAUAUGGGAAAUUUUUGUGAAAAAGAAAUUGGGAUGGUGAAUCCAUAUGGCCAUGAUGGAUUCAACAUCCAGAAAAAGUACCUCUGUCAGGUACCAAAGAUUGGGAAAUGGUUUAAAUAAAAUGAGACCAGACGUUGAGCAGGAAAGGUCGCCCGUCUGUGUCGAUUAAGGACCGUUCCGAUUGUUGGCCUGCUGAUCUAGGACCCUUUAACUGGCCACAUGCCUCAUCAUGGGUAAGCUUAGCCUCGGUUGGACCAAUACCAGAAAGGCCGG
This 7905-nucleotide long non-coding RNA is filed under the name Zea mays. RNAcentral describes it as "long non-coding RNA (ZMAY_LNC002229)". The record is from RNAcentral. Lineage: Eukaryota; Viridiplantae; Streptophyta; Magnoliopsida; Poales; Poaceae.